Non-coding RNA from Podarcis lilfordi (Lilford's wall lizard), 113 nucleotides. NCBI's taxonomy places the organism in Eukaryota, Metazoa, Chordata, Lepidosauria, Squamata, Lacertidae. The record is from the annotation of a GenBank genome assembly.
GCCUACAGCCACACCACCCUGAAUGCACCCAAUCCCGUCCGAUCUCGGAAGUUAAGCAGGGUCGGGCCUGGUUAACUUGGAUGGGAGACUAUCUCUUUCAAAAGCUAUCUGAC